RNAcentral lists this ribosomal RNA (432 nucleotides) under uncultured bacterium. RNAcentral describes it as "bacterial SSU rRNA". It matches the Rfam family "Bacterial small subunit ribosomal RNA", at positions 446 to 876 of the family's 1533-position model. The record is from RNAcentral.
CGCCUCGGCUAAUACCUGGUUUGGAUGACGGUACCGGAAGAAGAAGCACCGGCUAACUACGUGCCAGCAGCCGCGGUAAUACGUAGGGUGCGAGCGUUAAUCGGAAUUACUGGGCGUAAAGCGUGCGCAGGCGGUUUUUUAAGCCAGAUGUGAAAUCCCCGGGCUUAACCUGGGAACUGCAUUUGUGACUGCAAGGCUAGAGUGUAGCAGAGGGGGGUAGAAUUCCACGUGUAGCAGUGAAAUGCGUAGAUAUGUGGAGGAAUACCGAUGGCGAAGGCAGCCCCCUGGGUUAACACUGACGCUCAUGCACGAAAGCGUGGGGAGCAAACAGGAUUAGAUACCCUGGUAGUCCACGCCCUAAACGAUGUCAACUAGGUGUUGGGGGAGGAGACUUCCUUAGUACCGCAGCUAACGCGUGAAGUGACCGCCUGG